RNAcentral lists this ribosomal RNA (253 nucleotides) under uncultured bacterium. RNAcentral's name for it is "partial 16S ribosomal RNA". It matches the Rfam family "Bacterial small subunit ribosomal RNA", at positions 524 to 776 of the family's 1533-position model. The record is from RNAcentral.
UACGAGGGGGGCGAGCGUUGUUCGGAAUUAUUGGGCGUAAAGGGUGCGUAGGCGGUUUGGUAAGUCUUGUGUGAAAUCUUCGGGCUCAACUCGAAGUCUGCACGAGAAACUGCCGGGCUUGAGUAUGGGAGAGGUGAGUGGAAUUCCCGGUGUAGCGGUGAAAUGCGUAGAGAUGUGGAGGAACACCAGUGGCGAAGGCGACUCUUUGGCCUGUAACUGACGCUGAGGCGCGAAAGCGUGGGGAGCAAACAGG